CAAGACAGGAGGCGAUUCAGAAAGAAAAAACCAUUACCCCACUCAUCAAUGAGAAUCCAUUAGGAAGAUCAACAGAGUUAACAUUGCAUGGACCCAUGAGCCACUGGCAAGAUAGUGCAGUCACCCUUGCUUAAAAAAGACAGAAAGUGCAAACUUUUAGCAGUCAAAAAUGAACUGAGCACUAACAAUCAAAGCAAAUAGCCAAACUAAACAACCCAGUUCCGGAAGCACAAAUUGAGUUCUAUGAACCGCCCUAAGAAGAAUAAACUCACCAACCAUCGGCUCAACAAUCAGUACCAACAGCCCCUUUGUUCAAAGGAAAAAUAGAACGAGAGCGCCUUAGCAUGAAUAACUAUUUCGGCAUUUCUAUGAUAUUUGCAGCACAAGAAAAACACAAAGAAUAUACUAAGCCAUUCUUUAUAAAUAAAUCAAUGUGUGCUAAAAAUUUGUUUCAAGAUUUUUCAAGAUUGCACUGCUCUAAAUCUUGAAACAUAUUCAAUUAACCCUCAAGAGCACAAUAAGAACUCUAUGUGGACAUGAGCUUCUAGGUAAUCCUCAAAACAGACUACGUUCUUUCAUACUUUGGAAAAUUAAUGUAAAUAGCAUUAGAAUGGGGUCUUGGAUGCCUAACUAACCUUUAGGAUCAUGUAAGACCAGUUUAGGUAACAAAAGGAGGCAUAAAUAGGUCUAGCUAAUAAGGCAGCAAGAAUUCAAUACUCUGGAAGUGGACGAAAUAAAACUAGCAAUCUAACAUCAACAACUCUUAGUACAAAGAAAUAGAAAAGGCAUAAUUUAAAUGUCAUUUCAGUUCAAUUGGCACUGAUUUCAAGCUUAACUAGGACCCUAAAUUCCAAACAUUUAGAAACUACAUUUUCCCAAGCUAGUAAGACUUUUUCAGUGGUUGAUAGUUUUGCAAGGUUUCAGUUUUGUUUCUGAGAAUUUCAAGAGUUAACAUAAUGCAGAUUUUAAGCUCAAUCAAGUAUUUAUGUUUAAUAUAACAAACACAGAUUCAUAUAAUGACGAAUAACAAAAUAGGAAUUGAAAUUGAACAGAAUCGCCACGUACAAAGAAAUGAUCUGAUUAACAAAGAGCUGAACUAAUUCUAGAUCCGGUAGCUAAAUAAGAACCGAUUGAUAAUCCUCGGAUAGUCAUCGGGGUUACACCAGAUUCUUAGGGCAAAAAAGUUACCCAAAGAAGAUAACACAUGCGAUUCCCACAAAUAUGAUGAAAAAAUAUUGCAAGAGUUCAAAAUUGAGGACAUACCAGUUAGGGUUUUCUUAGAUUAAUCCUCCGUUCGACUGAUUUGAGGGCAGAAGUCGAUCGAUUUGGCUUCCACAAUGAGACAAUCAAGAGGGAGGAAGAGAGAAGUUUGACCUAAGAACUUCUGAUUCGUGCUUCUACAGUUUUGAAAAUGCUAAAGAUCUUCUCCGUUUGGAUAGUUAGAGAGAAGGGCACCCGCUUCCUUUGGUCGUAGAGAGAGAAAGUACAGAGAUAAGAGAUAAAGUAGUCUUGUUUUAAUUUCA
This 1523-nucleotide long non-coding RNA is filed under the name Panax ginseng (ginseng). RNAcentral describes it as "long non-coding RNA (PGIN_LNC016495)". Lineage: Eukaryota; Viridiplantae; Streptophyta; Magnoliopsida; Apiales; Araliaceae. The record is from RNAcentral.